UACGUAGGCAGCGAGCGUUGUUCGGAAUUACUGGGCGUAAAGAGUGUGUAGGCGGUGUUCCCAGUCUGUUGUGAAAUCUCCCGGCUUAACUGGGAGGGUGCAGCGGAAACUAGAAUGCUAGAGGGUGGGAGAGGUAAGCGGAAUUCCUGGUGUAGCGGUGAAAUGCGUAGAUAUCAGGAGGAACACCCGUAGCGAAGGCGGCACUCUGGGCCGAUACUGACACUGAGGAGCGAAAGCGUGGGGAGCGAACAGG
Molecule: ribosomal RNA, 253 nt
Filed under: uncultured bacterium
Lineage: Bacteria
Description: partial 16S ribosomal RNA
Rfam family: Bacterial small subunit ribosomal RNA
Source: RNAcentral